GAUGAACGCUGGCGGCGUGCUUAACACAUGCAAGUCGAACGGAAAGGCCCAAGCUUGCUUGGGUUCUCGAGUGGCGAACGGGUGAGUAACACGUGGGUGAUCUGCCCCGCACUUCGGGAUAAGCCUGGGAAACUGGGUCUAAUACCGGAUAGGACCACUUCUUGGAUGUUGUGGUGGAAAGUUUUUCCGGUGUGGGAUGAGCUCGCGGCCUAUCAGCUUAUUAGUGGGGUAAUGGCCUACCAAGGCGUCGGCGGGUAGCCGGACGGAGAGGGUGUGAGGCGGCAUUGACACUUAGAGAAGGCCGAGACACGUACGCGAGGGAGAUGUGGGGAAUAUUGCAGAAGGGGCGCAGGCCGAAUGCAGAGGCGCCGCGGGGGGGAUGACGGUCUUCGGGUUGUAGACUCAUUUCGCUAGGGACGAAGCGUUUUGUGACGGUACCUGGAGAAGAAGCACCGGCUAACUACGUG
RNAcentral lists this ribosomal RNA (467 nucleotides) under uncultured bacterium. RNAcentral's name for it is "partial 16S ribosomal RNA". It matches the Rfam family "Bacterial small subunit ribosomal RNA", at positions 28 to 507 of the family's 1533-position model. The record is from RNAcentral.